RNAcentral lists this ribosomal RNA (414 nucleotides) under uncultured microorganism. RNAcentral describes it as "bacterial SSU rRNA". It matches the Rfam family "Archaeal small subunit ribosomal RNA", at positions 459 to 872 of the family's 1478-position model. The record is from RNAcentral.
CAGCCGCCGCGGUAAUACCGGCGGCCCGAGUGGCGGCCACUAUUAUUGGGCUUAAAGCGUCCGUAGCCGGGUUGGUUAGUCUCCCGGGAAAUCUGGCCGCUUAACGGUCAGAAUUCCGGGAGAUACUGCCAGCCUAGGGACCGGGAGAGGCCGAGGGGAUUCCCGGAGUAGGGGGGAAAUCCUAUAAUCCCGGGAGGACCACCUGUGGCGAAGGCGCUCGGCUGGAACGGGUCCGACGGUGAGGGACGAAGGCCAGGGGAGCAAACCGGAUUAGAUACCCGGGUAGUCCUGGCUGUAAACGAUGCGGACUUUGUGUCGGACAAGCUAUGAGCUUGUCCGGUGCCGGAGGGAAACCGUUAAGUCCGCCGCCUGGGGAGUACGGCCGCAAGGCUGAAACUUAAAGGAAUUGGCGGG